GACGAACGCUGGCGGCGUGCUUAACACAUGCAAGUCGAACGGAAAGGCCCUGCUUUUGUGGGGUGCUCGAGCGGCGAACGGGUGAGUAACACGUGAGUAACCUGCCCUUGACUUUGGGAUAACUUCAGGAAACUGGGGCUAAUACCGGAUAGGAGCUCCUGCUGCAUGGUGGGGGUUGGAAAGUUUCGGCGGUUGGGGAUGGACUCGCGGCUUAUCAGCUUGUUGGUGAGGUAGUGGCUUACCAAGGCUUUGACGGGUAGCCGGCCUGAGAGGGUGACCGGCCACAUUGGGACUGAGAUACGGACCAGACUCCUACGGGAGGCAGCAGUGGGGAAUAUUGCACAAUGGGCGGAAGCCAGAUGCAGCAACGCCGCGUGCGGGAUGACGGCCUUCGAGUUGUAAACCGCUUUCGCAGGUGACGAAGCGUGAGUGACGGUAAUGGGUAAAGAAGCACCGGCUAACUACGUG
This 468-nucleotide ribosomal RNA is filed under the name uncultured bacterium. RNAcentral's name for it is "partial 16S ribosomal RNA". It matches the Rfam family "Bacterial small subunit ribosomal RNA", at positions 28 to 507 of the family's 1533-position model. The record is from RNAcentral.